UGAAUUGUAAAUUAAGUAAGUAAAUAUAAACUACAAUUACAAGAUUGUCUAAACAUCCUAAGUUUCAUUUUUCACUUUCAAAUAGUACUUUGCCCACUGGUUGCGAAGUGCCUUCAAUCUUUCUGGUUCCAAUGGUCUAGGAUCAGUGAAAUACUGCAUGAUAUAAUAAAACAUAAGUUAAUAAUAUAUUAGCAAUCAUAAUAAUAUGAAAUUUGGUGAAUUAAAAAUUACCAUUUCCCAAUUAUUCUGGAAAUUUCCUAAGAUUAUAGUUGACAUCCAAUGCAUG
RNAcentral lists this long non-coding RNA (286 nucleotides) under Glycine max (soybean). RNAcentral describes it as "long non-coding RNA (GMAX_LNC002943)". The record is from RNAcentral. Lineage: Eukaryota; Viridiplantae; Streptophyta; Magnoliopsida; Fabales; Fabaceae.